This 253-nucleotide ribosomal RNA is filed under the name uncultured bacterium. RNAcentral describes it as "partial 16S ribosomal RNA". It matches the Rfam family "Bacterial small subunit ribosomal RNA", at positions 524 to 776 of the family's 1533-position model. The record is from RNAcentral.
UACAGGGGGCCCGAGCGUUAGUCGGAAUCACUGGGCUUAAAGCGUGCGCAGGCGGGCCUGUAAGCAUCUCGUGAAAUCCCUCGGCUCAACCGGGGAAUUGCGGGGUGGACUGCGGGCCUCGAGGGAGGCAGAGGCCGACGGAACGAUAGGUGGAGCGGUGGAAUGCGUAGAUAUCUAUCGGAACGCCGAAGGUGAAGACAGUCGGCUGGGCCUUUCCUGACGCUCAUGCACGAAAGCGUGGGGAGCAAACAGG